RNAcentral lists this ribosomal RNA (916 nucleotides) under uncultured bacterium. RNAcentral's name for it is "bacterial SSU rRNA". It matches the Rfam family "Bacterial small subunit ribosomal RNA", at positions 246 to 1155 of the family's 1533-position model. The record is from RNAcentral.
UUGUUGGUAAGGUAAAAGCUUACCAAGGCUUCGAUCAGUAGCUGGUCUGAGAGGACGACCAGCCACACUGGGACUGAGACACGGCCCAGACUCCUACGGGAGGCAGCAGUGGGGAAUUUUGGACAAUGGGGGCAACCCUGAUCCAGCCAUGCCGCGUGAGUGAAGAAGGCCUUCGGGUUGUAAAGCUCUUUCAGCCGGAACGAAACGGUUACGGAUAACACCCGUGACUACUGACGGUGCCGGAAGAAGAAGCACCGGCUAACUACGUGCCAGCAGCCGCGGUAAUACGUAGGGUGCGAGCGUUAAUCGGAAUUACUGGGCGUAAAGCGUGCGCAGGUGGUUUUGUAAGUCAGAUGUGAAAGCCCCGGGCUCAACCUGGGAACUGCGUUUGAAACUACAAGACUAGAGUGUGGCAGAGGGGGGUGGAAUUCCGCGUGUAGCAGUGAAAUGCGUAGAGAUGUGGAGGAACACCGAUGGCGAAGGCAGCCCCCUGGGUCAACACUGACGCUCAGGCACGAAAGCAUGGGGAGCAAACAGGAUUAGAUACCCUGGUAGUCCAUGCCCUAAACGAUGUCAACUAGUUGUCGGGCCUUUACGGGCUUGGUAACGUAGCUAACGCGUGAAGUUGACCGCCUGGGGAGUACGAUCGCAAGAUUAAAACUCAAAUGAAUUGACGGGGACCCGCACAAGCGGUGGAUUAUGUGGAUUAAUUCGAUGCAACGCGAAAAACCUUACCUACCCUUGACAUGUAUCGAAGCCCGCAGAAAAGCGGGGGUGCCCGAAAGGGAACGAUAACACAGGUGCUGCAUGGCUGUCGUCAGCUCGUGUCGUGAGAUGUUGGGUUAAGUCCCGCAACGAGCGCAACCCUUGUCAUUAAUUGCCAUCAUUUAGUUGGGCACUUUAAUGAGACUGCCGG